GCUCCACGCAUCCCUCGUGCCGUCCAGCUGGCGGGUGGACCCGCCUCGCCAGGAUUCCAUCCCGAGCCGGAAUCGCCUGAAGCGCUCACACCAGGGAUUCUUCUUUUCUCCCGCGAGAAGGAGCACCCAGGAACCGAUUCCCACUAUCCCGAUUCUUUAUCCUGCCAAGAUUGGAUCUGUCGCCGGAGCCAGCACCACAGCAGUUUCGCCGGAGCCGCCGCUUGAGACCACCGCCGUCCACCUAACCCUCACUGUCGUCUUCGUCGGAGCAGCACCGCAGGAAGGCCGCCGUCAACCACCGGAGAAACCCCGCAGCCACCGCAGAGGAGCCACACCGAGCCGCUGCCCUGUUUUCCUCUGCUCGUGGUGAGCAUGCACGCACGAUCUGCUUCGAUUGCCCGGAGUGCGACGCAAACUAUUUGAGGAGUGUGACCUUUUGAUCAAGAAUCAAGGCAACUUACAUGAUAUUCAGACGAGGAGUAAGGUACCGUUAGGGUCGCGAGU
Molecule: long non-coding RNA, 504 nt
Organism: Hordeum vulgare subsp. vulgare (domesticated barley)
Lineage: Eukaryota; Viridiplantae; Streptophyta; Magnoliopsida; Poales; Poaceae
Exons: 3
Source: RefSeq, a predicted model, not a curated record